Molecule: ribosomal RNA, 301 nt
Filed under: uncultured bacterium
Lineage: Bacteria
Description: partial 16S ribosomal RNA
Rfam family: Bacterial small subunit ribosomal RNA
Source: RNAcentral
CAGUCGCCACGGGAAAACGUAGGGUGCGAGCGUUAAUCGGAAUUACUGGGCGUAAAGCGUGCGUAGGUGGUGGUUUAAGUCCGUUGUGAAAGCCCUGGGCUCAACCUGGGAAUUGCAGUGGAUACUGGAUCACUAGAGUGUGGUAGAGGAUAGUGGAAUUUCCGGUGUAGCAGUGAAAUGCGUAGAGAUCGGAAGGAACAUCUGUGGCGAAGGCGACUAUCUGGGCCAACACUGACACUGAGGCACGAAAGCGUGGGGAGCAAACAGGAUUAGAUACCCGUGUAGUCCCUGUCUCUUAUAC